UUAAAUGUGAGCAUGAUUGGAGAUAUAUAGAUGAGAAUAAGGUCUUGGGGACCCAAUAGGUGGACGACCAUGUUGUCAGCUCCACAAUUGAUUCCUAGUGCAAUGACACGACGACGGAGGAUAUGAAAAUUGAGUAGUUUGGAAUAAGAGUUAUUAGUGUCGAUAGUUGUGGGCAAAGACGGAGCCCAACGCUUGGCAAACAUGGUGAGAACUAAGGAACAAGGCU
Molecule: long non-coding RNA, 226 nt
Filed under: Gossypium barbadense (sea-island cotton)
Lineage: Eukaryota; Viridiplantae; Streptophyta; Magnoliopsida; Malvales; Malvaceae
Description: long non-coding RNA (GBAR_LNC005782)
Source: RNAcentral